This 161-nucleotide ribosomal RNA is filed under the name uncultured bacterium. Its description in RNAcentral is "partial 16S rRNA". It matches the Rfam family "Bacterial small subunit ribosomal RNA", at positions 358 to 511 of the family's 1533-position model. The record is from RNAcentral.
GGAAUCUUCCACAAUGGACGCAAGUCUGAUGGAGCAACGCCGCGUGAGCGAAGAAGAUCUUCGGAUCGUAAAACUCUGUUGUUAGAGAAGAACACGAGUGAGAGUAACUGUUCAUUCGAUGACGGUAUCUAACCAGCAAGUCACGGCUAACUACGUGCCAG